This 7015-nucleotide long non-coding RNA is filed under the name Zea mays. RNAcentral's name for it is "long non-coding RNA (ZMAY_LNC001578)". Lineage: Eukaryota; Viridiplantae; Streptophyta; Magnoliopsida; Poales; Poaceae. The record is from RNAcentral.
UAUCAACUUUGCUGACAUAGUAGAAUUUUAGUGUCCAAACCAUAGUACACGUUUUGGUCCCCGGAGGCCGGUAAGGCUAUUUUUGGCCUCCCGUGACACAUGUUUUCAUCGUCAAACGACGAUUUCAUGCCUCCCGUCCGCCACCCAUGAUUUGGCCACUGAGACAGCUAAGGCUGUUUAUGGCCUCCCGUAGGCUAUGGCACACGUUUUCAUGGUCGAGCGACCAUUUUUAAGUACGUGUUCCACCACCCGCGUUUUGGUCCCCAGAGCACCUUAAAAUUGUCCUUGGCCUCCCACGAGCUGUAGCACACGUUUCCGUGGCCAAAGAGCCAAUUUCAUGUAUCCGACCUGCCACCUACGUUUUAGACCGGAGAGGCCGUUACGACAUUUUUUGCCACAAGUGAGCUAUAGCACACGUUUUUAUGGCAACCUAGACCCCAAAUCCAAUCCCUAAACCCUAACCUUAAACACCGACACUAAAAGGUUUUAGUGUCCAAACCAUAGUAAAAUGAAGUUUGAGUCUCCAAACCAUAGUAAGCUUGCAGGCAUGGUAGAAUUUUAGUGUCCAAACCAUAGUACACGUUUUAGUCCCCGGCAGCCCGUAAGGCUAUUUUGGCCUCCCGUGACACAUGUUUUUGUCGUCGAACAGCGAUUUCGUGCCUCCCGACCGCCACCCAUGAUUUGACCAUAGAGACUGGUAAGGUUGUUUUGGCCUCCCGUGAGCUAUAGCACACGUUUUCAUGGCCGAGCGACCAUUUUUAUGUCCGUGUUCCUCCACACGUGUUUUUGUCCCCGGAGCACCUUAAAGCGGUUCUUGGCCUCCCGCGAGCUAUAUCACACAUUUCCGUGGCCAAACAGCCAGUUUUAUGUAUCCGACCUGCCACCUUCGUUUUAGACCGGGGAGGCCGUUAUGGCAAUUUUUUUGCCACCCGUGAGCUAUAGCACACGAUUUUAUGGAAACCUAGACCCUAAUCCUAUCCCUAAACCUAAACCUAACAUCGACACUAAAGGAUUUUAGUGUUGAAAGCAUGGUAAAAUGAAAUUUGAGUCUCCCAACCUUAUCAACUUUGCUGACAUAGUAGAAUUUUAGUGUCCAAACCAUAGUACACGUUUUGGUCCCCGGAGGCCGGUAAGGCUAUUUUUGGCCUCCCGUGACACAUGUUUUCAUCGUCAAACGACGAUUUCAUGCCUCCCGUCCGCCACCCAUGAUUUGGCCACUGAGACUGCUAAGGCUGUUUAUGGCCUCCGUAGGCUAUGGCACACGUUUUCAUGGUCGAGCGACCAUUUUUAAGUACGUGUUCCACCACCCGCGUUUUGGUCCCAGAGCACCUUAAAUUGUCCUUGGCCUCCCACGAGCUGUAGCACACGUUUCCGUGGCCAAAGAGCCAAUUUCAUGUAUCCGACCUGCCACCUACGUUUUAGACCGGAGAGGCCGUUACGACAUUUUUUGCCACAAGUGAGCUAUAGCACACGUUUUUAUGGUAACCUAGACCCCAAAUCCAAUCCCUAAACCCUAACCUUAAACACCGACACUAAAAGGUUUUAGUGUCCAAACCAUAGUAAAAUGAAGUUUGAGUCUCCAAACCAUAGUAAGCUUGCAGGCAUGGUAGAAUUUUAGUGUCCAAACCAUAGUACACGUUUUAGUCCCCGGCAGCCCGUAAGGCUAUUUUGGCCUCCCGUGACACAUGUUUUUGUCGUCGAACAACGAUUUCGUGCCUCCCGACCGCCACCCAUGAUUUGACCAUAGAGACUGGUAAGGUUGUUUUGGCCUCCCGUGAGCUAUAACACACGUUUUCAUGGCCGAGCGACCAUUUUUAUGUCCGUGUUCCUCCACACGUGUUUUUGUCCCCGGAGCACCUUAAAGCGGUUCUUGGCCUCCCGCGAGCUAUAUCACACAUUUCCGUGGCCAAACAGCCAGUUUUAUGUAUCCGACCUGCCACCUUCGUUUUAGACCGGGGAGGCCGUUAUGGCAUUUUUUUGCCACCCGUGAGCUAUAGCACACGAUUUUAUGGAAACCUAGACCCUAAUCCCUAUCCCUAAACCCUAAACCUAAACAUCGACACUAAAGGAUUUUAGUGUUGAAAGCAUGGUAAAAUGAAAUUUGAGUCUCCCAACCUUAUCAACUUUGCUGACAUAGUAGAAUUUUAGUGUCCAAACCAUAGUACACGUUUUGGUCCCCGGAGGCCGGUAAGGCUAUUUUUGGCCUCCCGUGACACAUGUUUUCAUCGUCAAACGACGAUUUCAUGCCUCCCGUCCGCCACCCAUGAUUUGGCCACUGAGACUGCUAAGGCUGUUUAUGGCCUCCGUAGGCUAUGGCACACGUUUUCAUGGUCGAGCGACCAUUUUUAAGUACGUGUUCCACCACCGCGUUUUGGUCCCAGAGCACCUUAAAUUGUCCUUGGCCUCCCACGAGCUGUAGCACACGUUUCCGUGGCCAAAGAGCCAAUUUCAUGUAUCCGACCUGCCACCUACGUUUUAGACCGGAGAGGCCGUUACGACAUUUUUUGCCACAAGUGAGCUAUAGCACACGUUUUUAUGGUAACCUAGACCCCAAAUCCAAUCCCUAAACCCUAACCUUAAACACCGACACUAAAAGGUUUUAGUGUCCAAACCAUAGUAAAAUGAAGUUUGAGUCUCCAAACCAUAGUAAGCUUGCAGGCAUGGUAGAAUUUUAGUGUCCAAACCAUAGUACACGUUUUAGUCCCCGGCAGCCCGUAAGGCUAUUUUGGCCUCCCGUGACACAUGUUUUUGUCGUCGAACAGCGAUUUCGUGCCUCCCGACCGCCACCCAUGAUUUGACCAUAGAGACUGGUAAGGUUGUUUUGGCCUCCCGUGAGCUAUAGCACACGUUUUCAUGGCCGAGCGACCAUUUUUAUGUCCGUGUUCCUCCACACGUGUUUUUGUCCCCGGAGCACCUUAAAGCGGUUCUUGGCCUCCCGCGAGCUAUAUCACACAUUUCCGUGGCCAAACAGCCAUUUUAUGUAUCCGACCUGCCACCUUCGUUUUAGACCGGGGAGGCCGUUAUGGCAAUUUUUUUGCCACCCGUGAGCUAUAGCACACGAUUUUAUGGAAACCUAGACCCUAAUCCUAUCCCUAAACCCUAACUAACAUCGACACUAAAGGAUUUUAGUGUUGAAAGCAUGGUAAAAUGAAAUUUGAGUCUCCCAACCUUAUCAACUUUGCUGACAUAGUAGAAUUUUAGUGUCCAAACCAUAGUACACGUUUUGGUCCCCGGAGGCCGGUAAGGCUAUUUUUGGCCUCCCGUGACACAUGUUUUCAUCGUCAAACGACGAUUUCAUGCCUCCCGUCCGCCACCCAUGAUUUGGCCACUGAGACUGCUAAGGCUGUUUAUGGCCUCCGUAGGCUAUGGCACACGUUUUCAUGGUCGAGCGACCAUUUUAAGUACGUGUUCCACCACCGCGUUUUGGUCCCAGAGCACCUUAAAUUGUCCUUGGCCUCCCACGAGCUGUAGCACACGUUUCCGUGGCCAAAGAGCCAAUUUCAUGUAUCCGACCUGCCACCUACGUUUUAGACCGGAGAGGCCGUUACGACAUUUUUUGCCACAAGUGAGCUAUAGCACACGUUUUUAUGGUAACCUAGACCCCAAAUCCAAUCCCUAAACCCUAACCUUAAACACCGACACUAAAAGGUUUUAGUGUCCAAACCAUAGUAAAAUGAAGUUUGAGUCUCCAAACCAUAGUAAGCUUGCAGGCAUGGUAGAAUUUUAGUGUCCAAACCAUAGUACACGUUUUAGUCCCCGGCAGCCCGUAAGGCUAUUUUGGCCUCCCGUGACACAUGUUUUUGUCGUCGAACAGCGAUUUCGUGCCUCCCGACCGCCACCCAUGAUUUGACCAUAGAGACUGGUAAGGUUGUUUUGGCCUCCCGUGAGCUAUAGCACACGUUUUCAUGGCCGAGCGACCAUUUUUAUGUCCGUGUUCCUCCACACGUGUUUUUGUCCCCGGAGCACCUUAAAGCGGUUCUUGGCCUCCCGCGAGCUAUAUCACACAUUUCCGUGGCCAAACAGCCAGUUUUAUGUAUCCGACCUGCCACCUUCGUUUUAGACCGGGGAGGCCGUUAUGGCAUUUUUUUGCCACCCGUGAGCUAUAGCACACGAUUUUAUGGAAACCUAGACCCUAAAUCCUAUCCCUAAACCUAAACAUCGACACUAAAGGAUUUUAGUGUUGAAAGCAUGGUAAAAUGAAAUUUGAGUCUCCCAACCUUAUCAACUUUGCUGACAUAGUAGAAUUUUAGUGUCCAAACCAUAGUACACGUUUUGGUCCCCGGAGGCCGGUAAGGCUAUUUUUGGCCUCCCGUGACACAUGUUUUCAUCGUCAAACGACGAUUUCAUGCCUCCCGUCCGCCACCCAUGAUUUGGCCACUGAGACUGCUAAGGCUGUUUAUGGCCUCCGUAGGCUAUGGCACACGUUUUCAUGGUCGAGCGACCAUUUUUAAGUACGUGUUCCACCACCCGUUUUUGGUCCCAGAGCACCUUAAAUUGUCCUUGGCCUCCCACGAGCUGUAGCACACGUUUCGUGGCCAAAGAGCCAAUUUCAUGUAUCCGACCUGCCACCUACGUUUUAGACCGGAGAGGCCGUUACGACAUUUUUUGCCACAAGUGAGCUAUAGCACAUGUUUUUAUGGUAACCUAGACCCCAAAUCCAAUCCCUAAACCCUAACCUUAAACACCGACACUAAAAGGUUUUAGUGUCCAAACCAUAGUAAAAUGAAGUUUGAGUCUCCAAACCAUAGUAAGCUUGCAGGCAUGGUAGAAUUUUAGUGUCCAAACCAUAGUACACGUUUUAGUCCCCGGCAGCCCGUAAGGCUAUUUUGGCCUCCCGUGACACAUGUUUUUGUCGUCGAACAGCGAUUUCGUGCCUCCCGACCGCCACCCAUGAUUUGACCAUAGAGACUGGUAAGGUUGUUUUGGCCUCCCGUGAGCUAUAGCACACGUUUUCAUGGCCGAGCGACCAUUUUUAUGUCCGUGUUCCUCCACACGUGUUUUUGUCCCCGGAGCACCUUAAAGCGGUUCUUGGCCUCCCGCGAGCUAUAUCACACAUUUCCGUGGCCAAACAGCCAGUUUUAUGUAUCCGACCUGCCACCUUCGUUUUAGACCGGGGAGGCCGUUAUGGCAUUUUUUUGCCACCCGUGAGCUAUAGCACACGAUUUUAUGGAAACCUAGACCCUAAUCCUAUCCCUAAACCUAACUAACAUCGACACUAAAGGAUUUUAGUGUUGAAACCAUGGUAAAAUGAAAUUUGAGUCUCCCAACCUUAUCAACUUUGCUGACAUAGUAGAAUUUUAGUGUCCAAACCAUAGUACACGUUUUGGUCCCCGGAGGCCGGUAAGGCUAUUUUUGGCCUCCCGUGACACAUGUUUUCAUCGUCAAACGACGAUUUCAUGCCUCCCGUCCGCCACCCAUGAUUUGGCCACUGAGACUGCUAAGGCUGUUUAUGGCCUCCGUAGGCUAUGGCACACGUUUUCAUGGUCGAGCGACCAUUUUUAAGUACGUGUUCCACCACCGCGUUUUGGUCCCAGAGCACCUUAAAUGGUCCUUGGCCUCCCACGAGCUGUAGCACACGUUUCGUGGCCAAAGAGCCAAUUUCAUGUAUCCGACCUGCCACCUACGUUUUAGACCGGAGAGGCCGUUACGACAUUUUUUGCCACAAGUGAGCUAUAGCACAUGUUUUUAUGGUAACCUAGACCCCAAAUCCAAUCCCUAAACCCUAACCUUAAACACCGACACUAAAAGGUUUUAGUGUCCAAACCAUAGUAAAAUGAAGUUUGAGUCUCCAAACCAUAGUAAGCUUGCAGGCAUGGUAGAAUUUUAGUGUCCAAACCAUAGUACACGUUUUAGUCCCCGGCGGCCCGUAAGGCUAUUUUGGCCUCCCGUGACACAUGUUUUUGUCGUCGAACAGCGAUUUCGUGCCUCCCGACCGCCACCCAUAUUUGACCAUAGAGACUGGUAAGGUUGUUUUGGCCUCCCGUGAGCUAUAGCACACGUUUUCAUGGCCGAGCGACCAUUUUUAUGUCCGUGUUCCUCCACACGUGUUUUUUCCCCGGAGCACCUUAAAGCGGUUCUUGGCCUCCCGCGAGCUAUAUCACACAUUUCCGUGGCCAAACAGCCAAUUUUAUGUAUCCGACCUGCCACCUUCGUUUUAGACCGGGGAGGCCGUUAUGGCAUUUUUUUGCCACCCGUGAGCUAUAGCACACGAUUUUAUGGAAACCUAGACCCUAAUCCUAUCCCUAAACCUAAACUAAUCGACACUAAAGGAUUUUAGUGUUGAAACCAUGGUAAAAUGAAAUUUGAGUCUCCCAACCUUAUCAACUUUGCUGACAUAGUAGAAUUUUAGUGUCCAAACCAUAGUACACGUUUUGGUCCCCGGAGGCCGGUAAGGCUAUUUUUGGCCUCCCGUGACACAUGUUUUCAUCGUCAAACGACGAUUUCAUGCCUCCCGUCCGCCACCCAUGAUUUGGCCACUGAGACUGCUAAGGCUGUUUAUGGCCUCUCGUAGGUUAUGGCACACGUUUUCAUGGUCGAGCGACCAUUUUUAAGUACGUGUUCCACCACCCGUUUUUUGGUUCCCAGAGCACCUUAAAGUGGUCCUUGGCCUCCCACGAGCUGUAGCACAGGUUUUCGUGGCCAAAGAGCCAAUUUCAUGUAUCCGACCUGCCACCUACGUUUUAGACCGGAGAGGCCGUUACGACAUUUUUUGCCACAAGUGAGCUAUAGCACAUGUUUUUAUGGUAACCUAGACCCCAAAUCCAAUCCUUAAACCCUAACCUUAAACACCGACACUAAAAGGUUUUAGUGUCCAAACCAUAGUAAAAUGAAGUUUGAGUCUCCAAACCAUAGUAAGCUUGCAGGCAUGGUAGAAUUUUAGUGUCCAAACCAUAGUACACGUUUUAGUCCCCGGCGGACCGUAAGGCUAUUUUGGCCUCCCGUGACACAUGUUUUUGUCGUCGAACAGCGAUUUCGUGCCUCCCGACCGCCACCCAUUAUUUGACCAUAGAGACUG